CGCCUCUUGAAACUACAUAAGAGGUCCAGCCUGCCCAGUGACUAAGUUCAACGGCCGCGGUAUCCUAACCGUGCGAAGGUAGCGUAAUCACUUGUUCUUUAAAUGAGGACUAGUAUGAAUGGCACCACGAGGGUUAUGCUGUCUCCUUUUUCUAAUCAAUGAAACUGAUCUCCCCGUGAAGAAGCGGGGAUAUAUCUAUAAGACGAGAAGACCCUAUGGAGCUUUAAAUCAUGUAACACUGGCUUUCACAUUAAAAUAUUCCAGAAUUUUUCAUUAUUACUCUAGCCACUAUGAUUACUAGUUUUAGGUUGGGGUGACCACGGAGCAAAAAUUAACCUCCAUGUUGAACGGAGCUACUCCUGAGCCAAAAGCCACGACUUUAAGCACUAAUAAAUUAACAUUAAUUGACCCAAUAUUUUUGAUCAACGAACCAAGUUACCCUAGGGAUAACAGCGCA
RNAcentral lists this ribosomal RNA (457 nucleotides) under Dendropsophus aff. minutus. Its description in RNAcentral is "partial 16S ribosomal RNA". It matches the Rfam family "Bacterial large subunit ribosomal RNA", at positions 1819 to 2484 of the family's 2925-position model. The record is from RNAcentral. Lineage: Eukaryota; Metazoa; Chordata; Amphibia; Anura; Hylidae.